UCAUCGUAAACAGCGUUUUAUGAGCGUGGGACAGUUUCAUUCCCGCCGUUUCCUUAUCGCCGCACGGAUAUAAAAAUCCAAUAUGGCUACGAAAAUUGCUCGGAAUUGCUGUUAAUUGGAAUAAACAAACACACACUAAUCAUGAAUCACCAAAGUUUAUUAAUUAAAGUUCGGUUUUAAUUCCUUGCAAUCAAAAUGUUUUCAAUUACAUUUUAUGGGGUCGUAGAAGAGCGUUCAAAGUCUUCGAUUCGAUUGAGUUCGUGUUGCCUGUAGAGAAUGUCAAUUGUGGGACCAGUAAACUGCCCAACGGCAAAUGGCGGUACCGAAUCUGUAAUAACCAGCUGCAUCCCGCGUACAGCACGAUCCACAUACUCUCCCAUAAGGGUUUGUACUCCUUGGGGUGGGCACCUUCCAAAAACAUAAGCAAGGUAACUCGGGCACGUCCAGCCGUAGAAUCCCAACGAAGAAAUCUCCUACUGUUAUCAGCCCAACAUCCUGGUUGUAUCACGCCGCCAUUACAAUAAAAGUCCACGUGUCCACAUUGUUCCACCUUGCCUUGGACGAACGCAUUGGUAUGAAUCACAUCAACAAAUUCCGCGU
This is a long non-coding RNA of Dalotia coriaria, 600 nucleotides long. RefSeq lists it as uncharacterized. The transcript is spliced from 4 exons. NCBI's taxonomy places the organism in Eukaryota, Metazoa, Arthropoda, Insecta, Coleoptera, Staphylinidae. The record is from RefSeq and is a predicted model, not a curated record.